UGGGGAAUAUUGGACAAUGGGGGCAACCCUGAUCCAGCCACGCCGCGUGAGUGAUGAAGGCCUUCGGGUCGUAAAGCUCUGUGGGGAGGGACGAACGUCCGGCGUAACCCGUCGGGGUGACGGUACCUCCUUAGCAAGCACCGGCUAACUUCGUGCCAGCAGCCGCGGUAAUACGAAGGGUGCAAACGUUGCUCGGAAUCAUUGGGCGUAAAGCGCACGUAGGCGGCUUCGCAAGUCGGAUGUGAAAUACCUAGGCUCAACCAAGGACGUGCAUCCGAAACUGCGAGGCUUGAGUACAGAAGAGGAUCGCGGAAUUCCCGGUGUAGAGGUGAAAUUCGUAGAUAUCGGGAGGAACACCAGUGGCGAAGGCGGCGAUCUGGGCUGUUACUGACGCUGAGGUGCGAAAGCGUGGGGAGCAAACAGG
This 424-nucleotide ribosomal RNA is filed under the name uncultured Kofleriaceae bacterium. RNAcentral describes it as "bacterial SSU rRNA". It matches the Rfam family "Bacterial small subunit ribosomal RNA", at positions 355 to 776 of the family's 1533-position model. Lineage: Bacteria; Pseudomonadati; Myxococcota; Haliangiales; Kofleriaceae. The record is from RNAcentral.